Long non-coding RNA from Magallana angulata, 498 nucleotides. RefSeq lists it as uncharacterized. The record is from RefSeq and is a predicted model, not a curated record. The transcript is spliced from 3 exons. NCBI's taxonomy places the organism in Eukaryota, Metazoa, Mollusca, Bivalvia, Ostreida, Ostreidae.
CUGGGGCAAUGGGUUAAUUUACUUUGCAAAUGUGUUCAUAUGUUUUUCAGAUCGACAGUACACCUUUUUUACCUCUCCAUUUGUACCAAGAAAUAUUGCAAAGGAUAUCUGUGGAUUAAGCGGAUCUUAUCUUCUAGAAAUUAAUUCACAGGCUGAGUGGGAUUUACUUCUGAUACAUGCUCCAACGGGGUUAUUUUACACUGGGGCCACAGAUGAAGAAGACAGAGGGGUGUUUAAAUGGGAGACGGCAGGUCAAAGAAUGACGUUCUUAUAUACAAGCUUGUACACAAAUAACCGAACCAUCGACUGUAUUGUGUUGGGCAAAUACAACAGUUUGAUGUCCCUGCUCACAUUUGAGUGUACCAUACAAAUACCGUUUGCCUGUGAAAAGGAAAUAUAGUCAACAACAGUAAACAAAGAAAAAAGAGAGUUAUCAGGUUUUUUAAUACGAUUGCAAUUUGAUGAUGUUCAAUAUUCAUGUUAACAUCCAAAUAAACA